UACGUAGGGGCAAGCGUUGUCCGGAAUUACUGGGCGUAAAGCGCACGCAGGCGGAAUUGUAAGUCCGUUGUAAAAUUCAGAGGCUCAACCUCUGUCUGUCGGCGGAUACUGCAAAUCUAGAGUAUGUGAGAGGGAAGUGGAAUUCCUGGUGUAGCGGUGAAAUGCGUAGAUAUCAGGAGGAACUCCGGUGGCGAAGGCGACCUCCUGGCACAAGACUGACGCUCAUGUGCGAAAGCUAGGGUAGCGAACGGGAUUAGAUACCCCU
RNAcentral lists this ribosomal RNA (265 nucleotides) under uncultured prokaryote. RNAcentral describes it as "partial 16S ribosomal RNA". It matches the Rfam family "Bacterial small subunit ribosomal RNA", at positions 524 to 789 of the family's 1533-position model. The record is from RNAcentral.